UUCGAUUCUGGCUCAGGAUGAACGCUGGCGGCGUGCCUAACACAUGCAAGUCGAACGAGGUUACUGAGAUUGGAGAUUCGUCAAAGAUCUUUUAACCGAGUGGCGGAUGGGUGAGUAACGCGUGGAGAAUCUGCCCUUAUCAGGGGGAUAACAACUGGAAACGGUUGACAAUACCGCAUACGCUCAUGAGAUCGCAUGAUCUUGUGAGGAAAGAUUUAUCGGAUAAGGAUGGCUCCGCGUCGGAUUAGCCAGUUGGCGGGGUAACGGCCCACCAAAGCGACGAUCCGUAGCCGGCCUGAGAGGGCGACCGGCCACAUUGGGACUGAGACACGGCCCAGACUCCUACGGGAGGCAGCAGUGGGGGAUAUUGCACAAUGGGGGGAACCCUGAUGCAGCGACGCCGCGUGGAGGAAGAAGUAUUUCGGUAUGUAAACUCCUAUCAGCAGGGAAGAAAAUGACGGUACCUGACUAAGAAGCCCCGGCUAACUACGUGCCAGCAGCCGC
RNAcentral lists this ribosomal RNA (504 nucleotides) under uncultured bacterium. RNAcentral's name for it is "bacterial SSU rRNA". It matches the Rfam family "Bacterial small subunit ribosomal RNA", at positions 12 to 518 of the family's 1533-position model. The record is from RNAcentral.